Molecule: transfer RNA, 73 nt
Filed under: Candidatus Omnitrophota bacterium
Lineage: Bacteria; Pseudomonadati; Candidatus Omnitrophota
Description: Candidatus Omnitrophica bacterium tRNA-Arg
Rfam family: tRNA
About the family: Transfer RNA (tRNA) molecules are approximately 80 nucleotides in length.
Source: RNAcentral
GCGCCCGUAGCUCAGCUGGAUAGAGUGCAAGCCUCCGGAGCUUGAAGCGUGGGUUCGAAUCCCGCCGGGCGCA